RNAcentral lists this ribosomal RNA (449 nucleotides) under uncultured bacterium. Its description in RNAcentral is "bacterial SSU rRNA". It matches the Rfam family "Bacterial small subunit ribosomal RNA", at positions 329 to 794 of the family's 1533-position model. The record is from RNAcentral.
CGCCAGACUCCUACGGGAGGCAGCAGUCGGUCCUCUUGCGCAAUGUCUGCCACUCUGACUCCCCCACGCCGCCCCUCGCAAGAAGGCUUCCCCAUUGUAGCCUACCGUCGUUAGCGCCGCCAAAAGACUCCACCUAAGGAGGACGCCCCGGCUAACUAUGUGCCAGCAGCCGCGGUAAUACAUAGGGGGCAAGCGUUAUCCGGAAUUAUUGGGUGUAAAGGGUGCGUAGACGGAGAAACAAGUUGGUUGUGAAAUCCCUCGGCUCAACCGAGGAACUGCAACCAAAACUAUUUCCCUUGAGUGUCGGAGAGGAAAGUGGAAUUCCUAGUGUAGCGGUGAAAUGCGUAGAUAUUAGGAGGAACACCAGUGGCGUAGGCGACUUUCUGGACGAUAACUGACGUUGAGGCACGAAAGUGUGGGGAGCAAACAGGAUUAGAUACCCGAGUAAU